RNAcentral lists this ribosomal RNA (433 nucleotides) under uncultured bacterium. RNAcentral's name for it is "partial 16S ribosomal RNA". It matches the Rfam family "Bacterial small subunit ribosomal RNA", at positions 29 to 507 of the family's 1533-position model. The record is from RNAcentral.
AACGAACGCUGGCGGCAUGCCUAACACAUGCAAGUCGAACGAGAACUCCGGGUCUAGUGGCGCUCGGCUGCGUACCGCCGGGGAACCUGCCCGUAGGUUCCGAAUACCUCCCUGUAGGGGGUGCUAAUACCGGUUAAUCUCAUCGGACCAAAGAUUUCUCGCCUUUGGGUGGGCCGGCGUUGGAUUAGCCGGUUGGUAGGGUAAAAGCCUACCAAGGCGACGAUCCAUGGCUGGUCUGAGAGGAGGCUCAGCUACACUGGGACUGAGACACGGCCUAGACUCGUACGCGAGACAGCAGUGGGGAAUAUAGGACGAUGGGCGAAAGCCUGAUACAGCCACGCCGCGUGAGUGAUGAAGGCCUUAGUGUUGUAAAGCUCUUUUAGCCGGGAUGAUAAUGACAGUACCGGGAGAAUAAGCACCGGCUAACUCCGUG